RNAcentral lists this long non-coding RNA (218 nucleotides) under Mytilus galloprovincialis (Mediterranean mussel). The record is from RNAcentral. Lineage: Eukaryota; Metazoa; Mollusca; Bivalvia; Mytilida; Mytilidae.
AUAGAAUUAGAAGUAUCAAUAUUUUCAUUUAUUGACGUUUUUAACCAUUCAAAUGCCAAGUCUUCAUGGUCCCCCCUUAGUCGAGAAUGACCAAAAGCUGUCAUGAAGGUCCCCAUGUAGAUUUCUUGUAUUUUUGGUAAUUGUUAUGGGGGUUAAAAAUCAUAUGAUGUGGAGCUUAUUUUUCAUGGACACUGUCAAAUUCAGAACCCAUUACCGGU